CACGUAGGGCGCAAGCGUUGUCCGGAAUUAUUGGGCGUAAAGAGCUCGUAGGCGGUUGGGCAAGUCACGUGUGAAAUCUCCACGCUCAACGUGGAGGCGCCACGUGAGACUGCCCUGACUCGAGUCCGGUAGGGGAGCGUGGAAUUCCCGGUGUAGCGGUGAAAUGCGCAGAGAUCGGGAGGAACACCCGUAGCGAAGGCGGCUCUCUGGGACGGUACUGACGCUGAGAGGCGAAAGCGUGGGGAGCGAACAGG
Molecule: ribosomal RNA, 254 nt
Filed under: uncultured bacterium
Lineage: Bacteria
Description: partial 16S ribosomal RNA
Rfam family: Bacterial small subunit ribosomal RNA
Source: RNAcentral